This 895-nucleotide long non-coding RNA is filed under the name Homo sapiens (human). RNAcentral describes it as "PREDICTED lncRNA (TCONS_00108702)". Lineage: Eukaryota; Metazoa; Chordata; Mammalia; Primates; Hominidae. The record is from RNAcentral.
CUUUUUUGUUGAGACGGAGUCUCGCUCUGUCACCCAGGCUGAAGUGCGGUGGUGCGACCUUGGCUCACUGCAACCUCCGCCUCCCGGGUUCAAGCAGUUCUCUGCUUCAGCGUCCCAAGUAGCUAGGAUUACAGGUGCCCGCCACCAUACCCGGCUAAGUUUUCUAUUUUUAAUAGAGAUGGGGUUUCACCAUCUUGGCCAAGCUGGUCUUGAACUCCUGACCUUGUGAUCCACCCACCUCGGCCUCCCAAAGUGCUGGGAUUACAGGCGUGAGCCACUGCGUCCAGCCGAUGUCAGUACUUUGUGUGCUCUUGAAAUAGGAAAUGUACAGAUCCCUAUUGCCAGACACAUCAUUCUCUCCAUCCAGAAAGCCAACUUUGCAAGGACAAAAAAAAAAAUUAGUGUGAAACAAAAUGUGGCUUUUCCAAAGACAGAUGUGAUUAUUUAUAGUCAAUGUGGCCUCAAAAUGUCAUUGAUUGUGAAAUAGCAAACAUGCAGGAUCAUAAUAUUUGGGUAGGUUUCUGAAGUUAUUUCAUAUCUGAGCAGUCUAAAGAAGUAUGGGGAGGAGGGGCCGGGCAUAGUGGCUCACACCUGUAAUCCCAGCACUUUGGGAGGCCAAGGAGGGUGGAUCACCUGAGGUCAGGAGUUCCAAGACCACCCUAGGCAACAUGGUGAAACCCCGUAUCUACAAAAAAUACAAAAAUUAGCUGGGUGUGGUAGUGGCUCCUGUAAUCCUAGCUACUCAGGAGGCUGAGGUGAGAGGGUCACUUGAACCUGUGAGAUGGCGAUUGCAGUGAGCUGAGAUCAUGCCACUGCACUUCAACCUGGGCGACAGAGCGAGACCUUGUCUUAAACAAAAAGAGGGGGAGAGCUGGGGAGGGGAAUGAGAAAGAAA